GUGGGGGAUAUUGCACAAUGGAGGAAACUCUGAUGCAGCGACGCCGCGUGAGUGAAGAAGUAUUUCGGUAUGUAAAGCUCUAUCAGCAGGGAAGAUAAUGACAGUACCUGACUAAGAAGCCCCGGCUAACUACGUGCCAGCAGCCGCGGUAAUACGUAGGGGGCAAGCGUUAUCCGGAUUUACUGGGUGUAAAGGGAGCGUAGACGGAAUGGCAAGUCUGAAGUGAAAUCCUGCGGCUUAACUGCAGAAUUGCUUUGGAAACUGUCAAUCUGGAGUGUUGGAGAGGUAAGCGGAAUUCCUGGUGUAGCGGUGAAAUGCGUAGAUAUCAGGAAGAACACCGGAGGCGAAGGCGACUUUCUGGACGAUGUCUGACGCUGAGGCGCGAAAGCUAGGGGAGCGAACGGGAUUAGAUACCCUUGUAGUCC
RNAcentral lists this ribosomal RNA (425 nucleotides) under uncultured bacterium. RNAcentral's name for it is "partial 16S ribosomal RNA". It matches the Rfam family "Bacterial small subunit ribosomal RNA", at positions 354 to 796 of the family's 1533-position model. The record is from RNAcentral.